AAUGAGGCGAACCGGGGGAACUGAAACAUCUAAGUACCCCGAGGAAAAGAAAUCAACCGAGAUUCCCCCAGUAGCGGCGAGCGAACGGGGAGCAGCCCAGAGCCUGAAUCAGUAUGUGUGUUAGUGGAAGCGUCUGGAAAGGCGCGCGAUACAGGGUGACAGCCCCGUACACAAAAAUGCACAUGCUGUGAGCUCGAUGAGUAGGGCGGGACACGUGGUAUCCUGUCUGAAUAUGGGGGGACCAUCCUCCAAGGCUAAAUACUCCUGACUGACCGAUAGUGAACCAGUACCGUGAGGGAAAGGCGAAAAGAACCCCGGCGAGGGGAGUGAAAAAGAACCUGAAACCGUGUACGUACAAGCAGUGGGAGCACGCUUAGGCGUGUGACUGCGUACCUUUUGUAUAAUGGGUCAGCGACUUAUAUUCUGUAGCAAGGUUAACCGAAUAGGGGAGCCGAAGGGAAACCGAGUCUUAACUGGGCGUUAAGUUGCAGGGUAUAGACCCGAAACCCGGUGAUCUAGCCAUGGGCAGGUUGAAGGUUGGGUAACACUAACUGGAGGACCGAACCGACUAAUGUUGAAAAAUUAGCGGAUGACUUGUGGCUGGGGGUGAAAGGCCAAUCAAACCGGGAGAUAGCUGGUUCUCCCCGAAAGCUAUUUAGGUAGCGCCUCGUGAAUUCAUCUCCGGGGGUAG
This 691-nucleotide ribosomal RNA is filed under the name Escherichia coli. Its description in RNAcentral is "partial 23S ribosomal RNA". It matches the Rfam family "Bacterial large subunit ribosomal RNA", at positions 173 to 905 of the family's 2925-position model. Lineage: Bacteria; Pseudomonadati; Pseudomonadota; Gammaproteobacteria; Enterobacterales; Enterobacteriaceae. The record is from RNAcentral.